Molecule: unclassified non-coding RNA, 794 nt
Filed under: Hevea brasiliensis (rubber tree)
Lineage: Eukaryota; Viridiplantae; Streptophyta; Magnoliopsida; Malpighiales; Euphorbiaceae
Source: RNAcentral
GAUUAAAUUGAUCUAUCUUUCCAUUUAUGGACCACAUGAGUUAUCAUCAUCAUGGAAAGAGACGGAUAAUUAAUUGUUGUCAUUGAACCUGUGACUGUGAGCUACCUAAUAAAGAGAUCAGAUGGUUCAAGUUCAAACCUAGUUCUUGGAAAUCCACCGUUACAAAAACCAUAAUAUGGACAAAUCACUUUUGAUUCGAUUUAUUUACAACUGUAAUGACAAGGAAAAAAAAUUCUAUAAUGAUUUGCAUAUAUCCAAGUCUAUGAAGGAUACAGUCGCAUGAAAAAGAAUGAUCAUGAAAGAACACAAACGUAUCUGUAUAUUCCAUUAUCAUUGUUGAGAAUUCAGGCAGAAGGCAGAGGUUCUGUAAUUCUUAGUGACCCUCCAAGCUCGAGAGGUACAAGAGGGAUGAGUGAAUGCAGAACAUCAGUUAUCAGCGGCCUAUAACUCGGUUCUUGUUGUACGCACAGUACUGCCACCGCAGCUACCUGAUAUAAGUGCCUUAAAUCCAUAGUAUCCUUGAUAACAGGGUCCACAAUAUUCGGAAGCUUUGAUCUAUCAGUAAGUUGAGGCAUGGCCUACAUGUAAAAAAUGGGAUAAUUAAGCUUUACAAGCCUGGAAUUCUCAUAGGAAUUACCUCAGAGAUUAAAUCUACAGUCGUGUUAAAGGAAAAUUACCCAUGUUACUAUAGACAGACAUUGAUCUUCUGAAAUCAUUUCCACUGGUUUUCUUCCCAUGAGUAGCUCCAGAAGAACAACUCCAAAAGCAUAGACAUCACUCUUCUCUGUUAGCUC